GACCACAGCAGGGGGCUGACCAUAGGCCACCUGCAGAUAAGGGAAGCCCAGAGGACAUAGACACAUUCCUCAGACAAUAGCCAUUCUGCUCACUACAGUUUGGAGAAUAUAAACUUUGAAGGACUCAGGUUGUCUGCAAAGGGACAUACUGAGAAAUAGUCCGGGCUAAAGCAUGUGACUCUGAGUAAUCUACUAGAAGUGGCAUGACUUGCUUUAAGUUCCACAUCUUCAACAAUACUUUGAGUUAUUCCCAGGAGAAAUCAUUCUCAAACAUCUAAAAUGGACUGUACCAAGACAACUGUCUUGAGGAACCUGAGUUUGCAUUUCUGCUCUGAAAGCUCAGAGCUCUGUUCUCUACAUAAAGAAAUAAAAGCAGGAGGGAAUCUUGACUCCUGGCCAGGACUUGCUGCUUGACAUCUCCCUGGCCCAGGAUUUGAGCUGUUUCUGUCUUGCUGACCCAGUUUCAGCAUCUAUAGUAUGGAAGGAUGAGUCAGGAUGCUUCAUAGCUCCAACAGACUACAACUUCUAGGUGAGACAUCACCUUCC
This is a long non-coding RNA of Mastomys coucha (southern multimammate mouse), 546 nucleotides long. RefSeq lists it as uncharacterized. The transcript is spliced from 3 exons. NCBI's taxonomy places the organism in Eukaryota, Metazoa, Chordata, Mammalia, Rodentia, Muridae. The record is from RefSeq and is a predicted model, not a curated record.